Molecule: ribosomal RNA, 241 nt
Filed under: uncultured bacterium
Lineage: Bacteria
Description: partial 16S ribosomal RNA
Rfam family: Bacterial small subunit ribosomal RNA
Source: RNAcentral
AAGCGUUAAUCGGAAUUACUGGGCGUAAAGAGUGCGCAGGCGGUUAAGUAAGACAGAUGUGAAAUCCCCGGGCUCAACCUGGGAACUGCAUUUGUGACUGCAUAGCUUGAGUGCGGCAGAGGGGGAUGGAAUUCCGCGUGUAGCAGUGAAAUGCGUAGAUAUGCGGAGGAACACCGAUGGCGAAGGCAAUCCCCUGGGCCUGCACUGACGCUCAUGCACGAAAGCGUGGGGAGCAAACAGG